UAGGGAAUCUUCGGCAAUGGGGGGAACCCUGACCGAGCAACGCCGCGUGAGUGAAGAAGGUCUUCGGAUCGUAAAGCUCUGUUGUUAAGGAAGAACGAGUGUGAGAAUGGAAAGUUCAUGCUGUGACGGUACUUAACCAGAAAGGGACGGCUAACUACGUGCCAGCAGCCGCGGUAAUACGUAGGUCCCGAGCGUUGUCCGGAUUUAUUGGGCGUAAAGCGAGCGCAGGCGGUUAGAAAAGUCUGAAGUGAAAGGCAGUGGCUCAACCAUUGUAGGCUUUGGAAACUGUUUAACUUGAGUGCAGAAGGGGAGAGUGGAAUUCCAUGUGUAGCGGUGAAAUGCGUAGAUAUAUGGAGGAACACCGGUGGCGAAAGCGGCUCUCUGGUCUGUAACUGACGCUGAGGCUCGAAAGCGUGGGGAGCGAACAGG
RNAcentral lists this ribosomal RNA (429 nucleotides) under Bacteroidota bacterium. RNAcentral's name for it is "Bacteroidetes bacterium partial 16S ribosomal RNA". It matches the Rfam family "Bacterial small subunit ribosomal RNA", at positions 355 to 776 of the family's 1533-position model. Lineage: Bacteria; Pseudomonadati; Bacteroidota. The record is from RNAcentral. RNAcentral also lists the same sequence under 1 other name.